CAACAGACUGGUCCAGAGCAACUCUCAGGCGCUGAGCGAGCUGAUCCAGCUGGGACUGACCAUUAUCGGCCCUGGGACAGUGGUGGAGCCCAGUAAGGAGAACGAGCUGGUUGGCAUCAUCGCGGGGCUGGUUGGGGGCCUGGUGCUGCUGCUCCUCGUCAUGACGCUGGCCUUGCUGGCCACCAGCCGGAGCUACAGGAGGAAGCUGAAGGCCAUGAAAGCACUGAAGGUGGCAUCCACACUGACAGCCAGCAUGGCCCAGCAGGGGCCAGCCAUCCCCGGGACAAACAAAUACAACGCUGAGGGGGCUAACCCCGUACUCAAUCUCACACUGGACGCCCCUUCAGACCUGGGCUUUGACGAGGACUCCAACGCCGACGCCGCCAGCCUGAACUCGCUGGACGAAAACAUGGUGGAGAACCCGGCAGAGGGCAGCCCUGGUCCCCCGGUGCUGCAGCUGGGCCGGGCGCCAGCUCCGGCACAGCUGGGCGGCUGUGAGGAGCCCCUGACGGCCGCCCUGCAGGCCCACCGCACGUCUCUGGCUAGUGAGCCAGCUCGGCGACUGGGAGAGCCCAACAGGGCAACCUUCACCUUCAGCAACCCCUGCCUGGACACCACGGACCUGUGAGAGCCCCCGGCUGGUGCUGGGGAGGAGCAGCCACAGCGCAGCGGGACUUGUGUGGCAGAUCCCUACGGAGAGCUGGAGUGACCUGCUGGCUCUGUAAUGGCCCGUCCCUGCCAAUAAACCUGCCCAGCCUGGGGCUGGCA
This 768-nucleotide long non-coding RNA is filed under the name Gopherus agassizii (Agassiz's desert tortoise). Its description in RNAcentral is "lncRNA (ENSGAGG00000018502.1)". The record is from RNAcentral. Lineage: Eukaryota; Metazoa; Chordata; Testudines; Testudinidae.